This 301-nucleotide ribosomal RNA is filed under the name uncultured bacterium. Its description in RNAcentral is "partial 16S ribosomal RNA". It matches the Rfam family "Bacterial small subunit ribosomal RNA", at positions 509 to 807 of the family's 1533-position model. The record is from RNAcentral.
CAGUAGCCGCGGUAAUACGAAGGGUGCAAGCGUUAAUCGGAAUUACUGGGCGUAAAGCGUGCGUAGGCGGUGAGUUAAGUCUGCUGUGAAAUCCCCGGGCUCAACCUGGGAAUGGCAGUGGAUACUGGCUCGCUAGAGUGUGUCAGAGGAUGGUGGAAUUCCCGGUGUAGCGGUGAAAUGCGUAGAGAUCGGGAGGAACAUCAGUGGCGAAGGCGGCCAUCUGGGACAACACUGACGCUGAGGCACGAAAGCGUGGGGAGCAAACAGGAUUAGAUACCCCUGUAGUCCCUGUCUCUUAUAC